UACGUACUCCCUCCGUCCGAAAAAGUUUGUCCCUCAAAUAAAUGUAUCUAGCACCAAGUUAGUGCUAGAUACACCCAUUUAAGGAAUAAGCUUGGGAAAAACUUUUUCGGACGAAGGGAGUACCAU
Molecule: non-coding RNA, 126 nt
Organism: Triticum aestivum (bread wheat)
Lineage: Eukaryota; Viridiplantae; Streptophyta; Magnoliopsida; Poales; Poaceae
Source: Rfam